GAAGACGGCCAUAGUAGGUUGGAAACACCUGUUCCCAUUCCGAACACAGAAGUUAAGCUUCCUACGUUGUUGGUUGUAGUCUCAGACAAGAGGCAAACCCCUCAAGUCGUCUUCA
This 115-nucleotide ribosomal RNA is filed under the name archaeon. The record is from RNAcentral.